RNAcentral lists this unclassified non-coding RNA (247 nucleotides) under Hevea brasiliensis (rubber tree). The record is from RNAcentral. Lineage: Eukaryota; Viridiplantae; Streptophyta; Magnoliopsida; Malpighiales; Euphorbiaceae.
UGUCUAAGCUACCCUUAAACCAUCUCUAAAUCACUUCUAAACCAUCCUCCAAAUUGUCUUGAACCGUUCUUUUUCGAGGCACCUUUCAAACCGUUUUAAACUGGAGCUCAAACCGGAAUCGGUGGUUCAGGAACCGUCUUCCAAACCAUCCCCUGGCGGUUUGGUUCAGAUUCAUGAUUUUAUUGAACUUGAACCGGCGGUUCCUGAACCGUGGCUACCCCUAGAUAAGGCUGUUUCUAAGCCUAAG